RNAcentral lists this ribosomal RNA (417 nucleotides) under uncultured bacterium. Its description in RNAcentral is "bacterial SSU rRNA". It matches the Rfam family "Bacterial small subunit ribosomal RNA", at positions 358 to 771 of the family's 1533-position model. The record is from RNAcentral.
GGAAUAUUGGACAAUGGCCGCAAGGCUGAUCCAGCCAUCCAGCGUGCAGGAAGAAGGCCCUAUGGGUUGUAAACUGCUUUUGUCUGGGAAGAAACCUUUGGAUUGACUCCGAAGCUGACGGUACCUGAUGAAUUCGCACCCGCUAACUUCGUGCCAGCAGCCGCGGGAAUACGGAGGGUGCGAGCGUUAUCCGGAAUUACUGGGUUUAAAGGGUGCGUAGGCGGCGCCGUAAGUCAGGAGUGAAAGUUUGCGGCUCAACCGUAAAAUUGCUUUUGAUACUGCGGUGCUGGAAUUAGGAUGAGGUCAGCGGAAUGUGGCAUGUAGCGGUGAAAUGCAUAGAUAUGCCAUAGAACACCAAUUGCGAAGGCAGCUGGCUAGACCUGGAUUGACGCUGAGGCACGAAAGCGUGGGGAGCGA